UAACACGUGGGCAACCUACCUUAUCGACUGGGAUAACUCCGGGAAACCGGGGCUAAUACCGGAUAACAUCUAGCACCUCCUGGUGCCGGAUUAAAAGAGGGCUUCUUGCUCUCACGAUGAGAUGGGCCCGCGGCGCAUUAGCUAGUUGGAGAGGUAACGGCUCCCCAAGGCGACGAUGCGUAGCCGACCUGAGAGGGUGAUCGGCCACACUGGGACUGAGACACGGCCCAGACUCCUACGGGAGGCAGCAGUAGGGAAUCUUCCGCAAUGGACGAAAGUCUGACGGAGCAACGCCGCGUGAGUGAUGAAGGGUUUCGGCUCGUAAAGCUCUGUUAUGAGGGAAGAACACGUACCGUUCGAAUAGGGCGGUACCUUGACGGUACCUCAUCAGAAAGCCACGGCUAACUACGUGCCAGCAGCCGCGGUAAUACGUAGGUGGCAAGCGUUGUCCGGAAUUAUUGGGCGUAAAGCGCGCGCAGGCGGCCUUUUAAGUCUGAUGUGAAAUCUUGCGGCUCAACCGCAAGCGGCCAUUGGAAACUGGGAGGCUUGAGUACAGAAGA
This 560-nucleotide ribosomal RNA is filed under the name Bacillus sp. CH93(2012). Its description in RNAcentral is "bacterial SSU rRNA". It matches the Rfam family "Bacterial small subunit ribosomal RNA", at positions 111 to 655 of the family's 1533-position model. Lineage: Bacteria; Bacillati; Bacillota; Bacilli; Caryophanales; Bacillaceae. The record is from RNAcentral.